RNAcentral lists this small RNA (102 nucleotides) under Trypanosoma cruzi. Its description in RNAcentral is "spliced leader mini-exon transcript". Lineage: Eukaryota; Euglenozoa; Kinetoplastea; Trypanosomatida; Trypanosomatidae. The record is from RNAcentral.
AUUAUUGAUACAGUUUCUGUACUAUAUUGCUACGCGAAGCUUCCAAAUCCGCGAGUCGCGGUUAUGUUUGGUCAAUUUCUUUUGACCGGGGUCCACGGACCC